RNAcentral lists this ribosomal RNA (465 nucleotides) under uncultured bacterium. RNAcentral's name for it is "bacterial SSU rRNA". It matches the Rfam family "Bacterial small subunit ribosomal RNA", at positions 338 to 795 of the family's 1533-position model. The record is from RNAcentral.
CCUACGGGGUGCACCAGUGGGGAAUAUUGCACAAUGGGCGCAAGCCUGAUGCAGCCAUGCCGCGUAUAUGAAGAAGGCCUUAGGGUUGUAAAGUACUUUCAGUUGGGAGGAAGGCGUUGAUGCUAAUAUCAUCAACGAUUGACGUUACCAACAGAAGAAGCACCGGCUAACUCCGUGCCAGCAGCCGCGGUAAUACGGAGGGUGCAAGCGUUAAUCGGAAUUACUGGGCGUAAAGCGCACGCAGGCGGUUGAUUCAGUUAGAUGUGAAAUCCCCGGGCUUAACCUGGGAAUGGCAUCUAAGACUGGUCAGCUAGAGUCUUGUAGAGGGGGGUAGAAUUCCAUGUGUAGCGGUGAAAUGCGUAGAGAUGCGGAGGAAUACCGGUGGCGAAGGCGGCCCCCUGGACGAAGACUGACGCUCAGGUGCGAGAGCGUGGGGAGCAAACAGGAUUAGAUACCCCAGUAGUC